GUACAGUGAAACGCAGAUCAGUCAAAAAAAUUUACCCGCAACGAGCAUUUUCCUUUCGAUAAUCUCUAAGUUAUAGCCAACUCCAUUAUAGUUAUAGCCAUUGCUUGAUUUCGCGAGGCGGUAGUUAGGUGUCUAUAUGAAUGCGCAGAGGUACCAAUACAGUGUUGAAACAAAUGCAGUCGGAGAAAGAUAAGACAAAUAGAAGCUAAUCCAGCUUCAUAUAACCUUAUCAUAGGACAACGGCGCUGCAUUAGGGUUUCUCUCGUGCCGCCGGGCACUAGUUAUACGUCUGUUUCGUUCACGCACAUGAUCAAAGUCGCAAACAAAGGAUAUGUACAUAUACAUAUAAGCUGAUGCACAAAAACGUCGGGGAUUCGUUGUGGAUGUUUUAAAGUAGUCUGAAUCGCUCCUAAUUCUUCUCGUUUGUGUGCGUUGAACGGGAGCUUCAAUGCAGCAGCUUUCGGUACGCAUUGAGGAUAUAUGAGAUCAUGAGGACUUAUAGUAUCCUCAUCGGCUAGAACUGUCUUCCUGCCUAGCUCGAAAAUAUACGCCGACCGAUGCCGAAAAUGAACGACCGAAUGAUGUGGUCCACACUUCUUCAUAUACGAGAGAAUUUCUUCAAUCUAGAGGAAUGUUUAAUACACAUUUCUCUAGCACACGUUCUUACUCAAGAGUCAUUAAAGCACUUCUAUUCUAUCAUUCGACAGAAAAACCUUAACACUAGUGGGCCUCCUUUCUUAAAAGAAACAAGAAACAUCUCUGUGUUACUUGUUUUUGCGUUCAGCCAUCUGCUUUGACGUCUCGCAGGUUAAAUACCUCGAGCGUUAUCUAUGUCCAGCAGCCUCGCGUACCUGUCUACUUUCGCUUAAACUAAUUUGUCGUGGGGGCCUAGCCCCAACAACCACAUCAUGGACGUUUUGUUCCCUUUUCGAACUGCCGGUUAUGGCCCGUAUUA
Molecule: long non-coding RNA, 955 nt
Organism: Varroa destructor (honeybee mite)
Lineage: Eukaryota; Metazoa; Arthropoda; Arachnida; Mesostigmata; Varroidae
Source: RefSeq, a predicted model, not a curated record